Molecule: ribosomal RNA, 467 nt
Filed under: uncultured bacterium
Lineage: Bacteria
Description: partial 16S ribosomal RNA
Rfam family: Bacterial small subunit ribosomal RNA
Source: RNAcentral
GACGAACGCUGGCGGCGUGCUUAACACAUGCAAGUCGAACGGAAAGGCCUCUUUCGGGGGGUACUCGAGUGGCGAACGGGUGAGUAACACGUGAGUAACCUGCCCUUGACUUUGGGAUAACUUCAGGAAACUGGGGCUAAUACCGGAUAGGAGCUCCUGCUGCAUGGUGGGGGUUGGAAAGUUUCGGCGGGUGGGGAUGGACUCGCGGCUUAUCAGCUUGUUGGUGGGGUAGUGGCUUACCAAGGCUUUGACGGGUAGCCGGCCUGAGAGGGUGACCGGCCACAUUGGGACUGAGGUACGGCCCAGACUCCUACGGGGGGCAGCAGUGGGGAAUAUUGCACAAUGGGUGGAAGCCUGAUGCAGCAACGCCGUGUGCGGGAUGACGGCCUUCGGGUUGUAAACCGCUUUCGCUCAUGACGAAGCUUUGUGUGACGGUAGUGGGUAAAGAAGCACCGGCUAACUACGUG